GACGAACGCUGGCGGCGUGCCUAACACAUGCAAGUCGAGCGAUGAAGUUCUUCGGAACGGAUUAGCGGCGGACGGGUGAGUAACACGUGGGUAACCUGCCUUGUAGAGGGGGAUAGCCUUCCGAAAGGAAGAUUAAUACCGCAUAACAUCUUUUUAUCGCAUGGUAGAAAGAUCAAAGGAGUAAUCCGCUACAAGAUGGACCCGCGGCGCAUUAGCUAGUUGGUGAGGUAACGGCUCACCAAGGCGACGAUGCGUAGCCGACCUGAGAGGGUGAUCGGCCACAGUGGAACUGAGACACGGUCCAGACUCCUACGGGAGGCAGCAGUGGGGAAUAUUGCGCAAUGGGGGAAACCCUGACGCAGCAACGCCGCGUGAAUGAAGAAGGCCUUAGGGUUGUAAAGUUCUGUUUACGGGGACGAUAAUGACGGUACCCGUGGAGGAAGCCACGGCUAACUACGUGCCAGCCGCCGCCGUAA
This 476-nucleotide ribosomal RNA is filed under the name uncultured bacterium. Its description in RNAcentral is "partial 16S ribosomal RNA". It matches the Rfam family "Bacterial small subunit ribosomal RNA", at positions 28 to 523 of the family's 1533-position model. The record is from RNAcentral.